Molecule: long non-coding RNA, 2471 nt
Organism: Cyprinus carpio carpio
Lineage: Eukaryota; Metazoa; Chordata; Actinopteri; Cypriniformes; Cyprinidae
Source: Ensembl
UGUCACUGUUGUGUUUACUAAUCCGAUGGACUCCUCGAAGAAAUGGCUUCUCUCUGAAAAAAAUGUUGAACUGAAAUAGUUUAUCAGCGUUUUAUUGUACAGCAUCUUCACAAACAACAGAAUGCAACGCAACUGACAUAUUGAGGCAUUUCUGGGCAGUGGAGUGUUAAACGGCCCCGGCAAGAGUGGCUCCCCCCACACGCGCUCGCUGCCAGACAGACCAAAUUCUACUUUAACUCCAGGAAAGAUGAAAUGCUGCCUCUCAUGAGGGUUGCUGUCUAUCCGGCAUCUCGUCGACAUUUAUGGAAGAAGAACUCGCCGUUGCGCGGUUUCCGCACGACUGACAAGCUCUGAAAAACGCAACGGUUGACAAAACAUUAUUGAAGAAGCUGUCCCCAGGCUAUACAGUACACCAGCCCCAGAUGCCGGAGAAAAUGACUCAUGCAAAGUGGAGCCUGUCAAGCCAAUGAGGAUGGAAGAGGAAGACAGGGCCGCCGAAAUGAGGGUAUCUGGGGUCCGUCUGGAGGAACUGUUGGAUUACACAGCAUUCUGUUAGGUUAAAUAGGAGGUUUGCUCGUCUGAUUUAGUCUGAGUGGAGAGCAGCUUCCUGCUGUGGUGAAGUCCCUCCACCUCCAGGGCAUCACCACUCAAAAGGGUCCGAGAGAGAGAGAAAUACACAGUAAACAGAUGUGCAUGAUGGCUGACUGACAACCUUCACAGCUGGUGCCACAAUAAUUUUGAAAAGAAUACUGUUUUAAAAAGAGAGAGAAAAGAAGCUGCUGCUCAAAGACAGAGAAGCAGGAAACACUUCUGGCAGCGAGAAUUUCCUGAGAGCGAAUCGAGAGGAUGGCUGCGGUGAACGCCGGCCCAGAAUGCACCACAGGAAGUGUCUGCGAGACUCCAGAAGCAGAGGUCAAGGCCAGGGGUCAACGGGUGGCACAGCAGAGAUUUACGCCGAGAGCAAACCCAGCCCGUUCCCAGCCUUCAUCCAUUUCCCGGGGAAAUUAGCCAUAAAGUCUCCGUUUUCAUCUUUCAAGAGCCGCAGGGGUGGUGAGGAGGAUGUUGUCGCUGACUUUUGAAGCAUCUGACAGGGCGAGCGAGAGGAGGGGUGAAACUGAUCCCGACACUGACAUGCAGAGACCUCCGGGGUCAAAGGUCACGACCCUGGUAACGCAAAGGUACGGACGGCCCGGGAGGAUUGUGACGAGCUGUGUGUGACCGACUCUCGCUGCCAGUGAGCUCAAAAAAUUUUCAUGUCUUGCAUGCAACUGGCACGGUGUGAAUCCUCAUGUCUGCACAUGGAGUCUCACGCAGACAGACACCUCCGGUUCAAGCUCAGAGCGUUAAGGCAGUCCAAAGCCGAGGGCUUCCCUUCAUCCAGAUGUGAUUGGAUGGUUCAGCACCUCUCAAGAGCCUGAUGAAUAUUCAAAGAUCCAGGGUAGAGGAGAUGCCAGCAUGACUUUUUUUCUUUUUGAGAGGGAAAGUGCAUUUAUCAACAGCAGAUUUAAAGGUCAGUAUCUGUGGAUGCAAAGCACUUGGUGUCAUAAAUUAUAAUCCUGAAAACUCAAGGUCAAUUAUUGACAAUUUAUCAUGCAUUCUCAAGAAGUGCUAUUAAAAGUGUGAUGUGUGUCAGAAUCAGGGCGUUUUUAGCAUGCAUUUUACUAUUACAUGACCUUUUUUUUUUUUUUUUUGUAAAGUAGCACAAACUAAUUGUGAAGUGCAAGCUGCUCAUGCCAGGCAAAACGAGAGAGACAUUAGAAGAAUGAGUGCAGCACCAUCUGUGGGCAGGAAGUGAUGAGGCGAAACUUGGCGAAAACGUGACGUGCAGCGGCUCCAGUGGAGGAUCCAGACUCGUCUCUGGUGUGUGUGGGCCAUGGAGGACUCAUCUGGAGAUCCAGCCUGGACGGGGGGAGACGCUGAGAGUCGCGCUUCUCUCGUUGGGCCUUUCGCAUGCUUAUUAACUUCAAUCCAGCAGCCUGGCUGCAACAAACUCAUGCCAAAUCACUCAAACAUUUGCACUGCCUUUGUGUUCCUCACCUGCACACACUGGGCUGUUUUCUUUUCUAUUCUUCUAUUCUUUUAGAUAAAAAUGUAAAAAAAAAAAAAAAAAAAAAGUAGUGUCAUAUAACAAGGAAACAAUUUAAGCACGCAUAACAGUAAUUUGAUUAAACAAUCAUAACUUCAUUGAAGAGCAAGUUCCACAUGAACAGGCAAUUAAUUUUACUUCUGUAAUGUUGUUUAUUUCCAAGUGCAAUAGGACUUAUCUAUUGGGAACUGAUUGGUAAAAAUAAAAUGUCAAAAACAUACUUAAGCAGUCAUAAUCCCAAUUUCAUUGAAGAGCAAGUUCCACAUGAAAAGGCAUUUGCAAACCAUUUUAAUUCUGUAAUGUAAUGGAUUUUCAAGUCAGAGUGGAACUUUUGAAAAAUAUAUGACUUUUAUCUCUUGAGAUUGUACUGAUAAAUGUACAAAAA